CCUACGGGGGGCAGCAGUGAGGAAUAUUGGUCAAUGGGCUUACGCCUGAACCAGCCAAGUCGCGUGAGGGAAGACUGCCCUAUGGGUUGUAAACCUCUUUUGUCAGGGAGCAAUUGGCGCUACGUGUAGCGUUAUCGAGAGUACCUGAAGAAAAAGCAUCGGCUAACUCCGUGCCAGCAGCCGCGGUAAUACGGAGGAUGCGAGCGUUAACCGGAUUUAUUUGGUUUAAAGGGUGCGUAGGCGGAAUGCCAAGUCAGCGGUAAAAUCGCGGGGCUCAACCUCGCUCCGCCGUUGAAACUGGCGUUCUUGAGUGGGCGAGUAGUAUGCGGAAUGCGUGGUGUAGCGGUGAAAUGCAUAGAUAUUAGGAGGAACACCAGUGGCGAAGGCGGUCUGCUGGACAGCAACUGACGCUGAGGCGCGAAAGCGUGGGGAGCAAACAGGAUUAGAUACCCGAGUAGUC
Molecule: ribosomal RNA, 460 nt
Filed under: uncultured bacterium
Lineage: Bacteria
Description: partial 16S ribosomal RNA
Rfam family: Bacterial small subunit ribosomal RNA
Source: RNAcentral